UGUGUACAAACAUACAUGUGCAUAUGUUUACACAUGUGCAUAUGCAUACACACACUUAUAUGUGCACACCCCCACA
RNAcentral lists this microRNA precursor (76 nucleotides) under Ictidomys tridecemlineatus (thirteen-lined ground squirrel). RNAcentral's name for it is "miRNA (ENSSTOG00000031722.1)". Lineage: Eukaryota; Metazoa; Chordata; Mammalia; Rodentia; Sciuridae. The record is from RNAcentral.